AUUGAACGCUGGCGGCAUGCUUUACACAUGCAAGUCGAACGGUAACAGGCCUUCGGGUGCUGACGAGUGGCGAACGGGUGAGUAAUGCAUCGGAACGUGCCCAAUUGUGGGGGAUAACGUAGCGAAAGUUACGCUAAUACCGCAUAAGCCCUGAGGGGGAAAUGGGGGACCGCAAGGCCUCACGCGAAUGGAGCGGCCGAUGUCAGAUUAGCUAGUUGGUGGGGUAAAGGCUCACCAAGGCGACGAUCUGUAGCGGGUCUGAGAGGAUGAUCCGCCACACUGGGACUGAGACACGGCCCAGACUCCUACGGGAGGCAGCAGUGGGGAAUUUUGGACAAUGGGCGCAAGCCUGAUCCAGCCAUGCCGCGUGCGGGACGAAGGCCUUCGGUUGUAAACCGCUUCUAGCCGGAAGAAAGUACGCUGUUUUAAUACUAGACAGU
RNAcentral lists this ribosomal RNA (440 nucleotides) under uncultured bacterium. RNAcentral describes it as "bacterial SSU rRNA". It matches the Rfam family "Bacterial small subunit ribosomal RNA", at positions 30 to 476 of the family's 1533-position model. The record is from RNAcentral.